RNAcentral lists this ribosomal RNA (420 nucleotides) under uncultured bacterium. RNAcentral's name for it is "bacterial SSU rRNA". It matches the Rfam family "Bacterial small subunit ribosomal RNA", at positions 30 to 455 of the family's 1533-position model. The record is from RNAcentral.
AUUGAACGCUGGCGGCAUGCCUUACACAUGCAAGUCGAACGGCAGCACGGGAGCAAUCCUGGUGGCGAGUGGCGAACGGGUGAGUAAUAUAUCGGAACGUGCCCGGUCGUGGGGAUAACGUAGCGAAAGCUACGCUAAUACCGCAUACGAUCUACGGAUGAAAGCGGGGGAUCGCAAGACCUCGCGCGAUUGGAGCGGCCGAUAUCAGAUUAGGUAGUUGGUGAGGUAAAGGCUCACCAAGCCGACGAUCUGUAGCUGGUCUGAGAGGACGACCAGCCACACUGGGACUGAGACACGGCCCAGACUCCUACGGGAGGCAGCAGUGGGAAUUUUGGACAAUGGGCGCAAGCCUGAUCCAGCAAUGCCGCGUGCAGGAUGAAGGCCUUCGGUGUAAACUGCUUUGUACGGUACGAAACGGUA